Molecule: long non-coding RNA, 597 nt
Organism: Xenia sp. Carnegie-2017
Lineage: Eukaryota; Metazoa; Cnidaria; Anthozoa; Malacalcyonacea; Xeniidae
Exons: 2
Source: RefSeq, a predicted model, not a curated record
CUUCUGGGGGUCAAGUAAGGUGCCGCCAUUUAUAAAUAAGUAUUAGGAAGUAAAACUUUCGGUCAUCAUGGUUCACUUUUGCGCUGUUUUUGCAUGCUCGAAUCGAUCUAAUAGAGAAAAUAAUAGACGGUUUUUUCGCCUACCUGCUGUCAAAAGUAAUGUGAAUGUGAACAAGAAGCAACUUCAACUUGAAAGGCAAAAGGAAUGGCUUUGACGAAUUCGCAGGGAAGAUCUUACGCCAGAAAAGUUUGCGAAUGCUCGUGUGUGUAGCGACCACUUCAUAUCAGGCAAACCAGCAGACCUACAAAAGAAAGAUGACCCAGACUGGGCACCAAGUCAAAAUCUUGGCCACAACAAUGUGAAAAAGAUAAACACAGAACGAUCGUCUCGCUACCAAGGGACAAUUGAAAAGACGAGAAGAUCUGAAACUGCUAAUGCCCUUAUAGCAAUGUCAAGCGAGCAGCCCAAUGAGGUUGUUGAUAAAAUGGACACCUCUGAACCAAAGGCAAAUGAAAUGUCAACACAGACUGAUUAAGCUGUCAAUGAGCUGAGGUUACUUGAAGAUGAGGUGGAUUUUCUAAGGAUGGAAAAUUCUGA